Molecule: RNA transcript, 1553 nt
Organism: Salvia miltiorrhiza (redroot sage)
Lineage: Eukaryota; Viridiplantae; Streptophyta; Magnoliopsida; Lamiales; Lamiaceae
Gene name: plasmodesmata-located protein 2-like
Exons: 5
Source: RefSeq, a predicted model, not a curated record
ACAAUAUCCAAUAGAAUUCAAGCAUUUAUAUAUGUAUUAUCUCAAGUAGCAAUAGACUUAGAUUAUUAGAUGAAGUUAGGCUGGAAAAAUACGUCCAUUUUAACCAACAAAAAUUCCAUCUUCAUAAAAACUUUACCACAUUUUUCCCAACAGAAAGUGACGACACAACAUGGUUUAAACCACGAAUCACAACUCAAUCAUGCAAACCACCAAUGAUCAAUCCCAAUCCCAAUCCCAAUUAAUCCAUUAUCCAUGAUUAAUCCCACCAUAAUCCAGUUCUUAAUCCCAUUUUUUCUCCUCAUAAUCACACAUUCCGCCAAAACCCUAAUCACAGACCACCACAAAUUAGUAUACACACAAUGCUCAAACCAUACCUCACCAAAUCCCUCUCACGUUUCGUUACUCCCAAAUCUAUUUCAAGAACUCAUCACACACUCUUCCAAAGCCUCCUUCUUCAAAACCAUAGUCGGAGAUGAGAAAACCGCGGUUUCGGGUUCGUUUCAAUGCAGAAAAGAUCUCAGCUCGGAUGAAUGCAGAAGCUGCGUGAUCAAAUCUUCCGACCUGUCGGAAAAUUUGUGCGGAAAAAUUUUACCGGCAAGAAUCCAGCUCCGCGGCUGCUACGUUCGGUACGAGGGGGAGGAAGACGGGGCUGAGCCCGAGACCGAUGCGGGCCCGGAGCAAAUCCUUCACCGGGCAUGUAGCAAGAGGAAGAUCAAGAGAGAUGGAUUUGAAGAGAUGAAAUAUGCCGCCUUUGGCGCGGUAGAGAGCUGUGUGAUGAGCGAGAAUGGAUUUUGCGAGAUGGUGUAUGAAUCUAUCCGUGUUUCGACACAGUGUGUGGGGAGUUUGAGGAGCGCCUGCGACUGCGGCGGAUGCGUUGCUCGUGCGGCGGAGUUUGCUUGUGAGGAUGAAUGCAGAUAUUCUGUUGCGGGAGAGGUUUAUAUUGAUGGAUGCUUCCUCAGUUAUUAUUAUUAUGGAGAUAGGGGCUUUGGCACCUACAAGGGUGGAGGGGACCGUUCGCCAAAACUGGUAGCAAUUGUUGUUGGGGGUUUAGCUGUUUUAGCAGUGGGAGUUGGGCUAUGUUACUUCACCAAGUCUUGUUGGAAGAAGAAAGAUGAUUGGUGAGGCAGAUGGCAGCUGUGGCUCUUGCCUUAGGAAGAAUAAUCGAAAAUCUUGCAUGACUGCCAUUGCAAUCUUUGGGAUUAUGAACUAGGCUCAAAUGUUUGUAGAAUUGUUGAUAAAUAUUGUCAUAGAAGGAUAAGAUUUGGACGUGCAAUUAAAGUAACUACAAAAGAAUCAAGAGAUUGAGACAUUAUUAAAAUAUUUCUAAAGUAGUGCCGAUAUUUUUACUUUUUUUUUUAAAGAACUAAUUAAUCAAGCUAGUUCAAAUAUGUCAAGUUGUUUGUAGAAUUGUUGGGUAAAAAUGGUGAGUAAAAGGAAGGGAAAAAAAGAAAAUACAAACUAUCAUAUACCAACAAACAAAACAUGGAUUUCAAAUUAUGCAGAUGAUUGCAGACAGCCAGGCUCAUGGCUUGAAAUCUACCGUAUCAAAUUUG